GAAAGUAGUAUAUAGUUGUCGCUGCUAACGAUAAUUUAGGAGUAUAUAAUGUGCUUCUGCUUUCU
RNAcentral lists this transfer RNA (65 nucleotides) under Schistosoma mansoni. RNAcentral's name for it is "tRNA-Ser". The record is from RNAcentral. Lineage: Eukaryota; Metazoa; Platyhelminthes; Trematoda; Strigeidida; Schistosomatidae.